UACAGGAGGUGCAAGCGUUGUUCGGAAUUAUUGGGCGUAAAGCGCGUGUAGGCGGCUUUGCAAGUCGGGUGUGAAAGCCCUCAGCUCAACUGAGGAAGUGCGCCCGAAACUGCAGAGCUUGAGUGCCGGAGAGGGUGGCGGAAUUCCCCAAGUAGAGGUGAAAUUCGUAGAUAUGGGGAGGAACACCGGUGGCGAAGGCG
RNAcentral lists this ribosomal RNA (200 nucleotides) under uncultured bacterium. RNAcentral describes it as "partial 16S ribosomal RNA". It matches the Rfam family "Bacterial small subunit ribosomal RNA", at positions 524 to 723 of the family's 1533-position model. The record is from RNAcentral.